This 460-nucleotide small RNA is filed under the name Pan troglodytes (chimpanzee). RNAcentral's name for it is "retained intron". Lineage: Eukaryota; Metazoa; Chordata; Mammalia; Primates; Hominidae. The record is from RNAcentral.
GGAUGACCCUUAGGUGGUAGAACUACCUAAGAAAACAUCAUUUUUGUUCUGGGAACUCUUGUUCAAAUCUCUUUCCAAUGGUCACUGAUAUUUGCUAACUUUAAAAUUAUGUGGUCUUAUUUAACAGAAAGUUUACAAAGAGGAUUUUGAGAAGGAGAUUAAAGGAAGGUCAUCACUGGAUUUAGACAAGACUCCAGAAUUUUUACAUGUAAAGUACAUCACCAACCUUCUGAGGGAGAAAGAAUAUAAAAAAGAUUUGGAAAAUGAAAUAAAAGGGAAAGGAAUGGAACUUAAUUCAGAAGUUCUUGAUAUCCAAAGAGCAAAGCGAGCCUCUGAAAUGGCGAGUGAGAAAGAAUACAAGAAAGACCUGGAGUCAAUAAUUAAAGGGAAAGGAAUGCAAGCUGGCACUGACACCCUUGAAAUGCAGCAUGCCAAGAAGGCUGCAGAGAUAGCGAGUGAG